RNAcentral lists this ribosomal RNA (522 nucleotides) under uncultured Glomeromycotina. Its description in RNAcentral is "SSU rRNA". It matches the Rfam family "Eukaryotic small subunit ribosomal RNA", at positions 569 to 1092 of the family's 1831-position model. Lineage: Eukaryota; Fungi; Glomeromycota. The record is from RNAcentral.
AGCAGCCGCGGUAAUUCCAGCUCCAAUAGCGUAUAUUAAAGUUGUUGCAGUUAAAAAGCUCGUAGUUGAAUUUCGGGGUUAGUAGGUUGGUCAUGCCUCUGGUAUGUACUGGUCUCACUGAUUCCUCCUUCCUGAUGAGCCGUAAUGCCAUUAAUUUGGUGUUGCGGGGAAUUUGGACUGUUACUUUGAAAAAAUUAGAGUGUUUAAAGCAAGCUCACGCUUGAAUACAUUAGCAUGGAAUAAUGAAAUAGGACGUUUGAUUCUAUUUUGUUGGUUUCUAGGAUCGACGUAAUGAUUAAUAGGGAUAGUUGGGGGCAUUAGUAUUCAAUUGUCAGAGGUGAAAUUCUUGGAUUUAUUGAAGACUAACUACUGCGAAAGCAUUUGCCAAGGAUGUUUUCAUUAAUCAAGAACGAAAGUUAGGGGAUCGAAGACGAUCAGAUACCGUCGUAGUCUUAACCAUAAACUAUGCCGACUAGGGAUCGGAUGAUGUUAAUUUUUUAAUGACUCAUUCGGCGCCUUACG